AACCAAGCAAAAACGGGAUAAAAACAUUAUAAUUUGAAUGUUUAAAACAUUUAUAAAGACAAUGAACGCACUGUGUAACAAAAGUUUGGGCAUACCUUAACGGAGAUUCUCUUCUCAUUGUAGACGGGUUCCCGGGGGACCAGAGGCGAACCCAGGAUUUGAAGUCUAUGGGUGCACCGGUAUUGUCAAUUACGCGCAUACGCCUCGAAGCAAGACUCAAAAUAUAUUGAGCGGCGAACCCAGGAAUUGAAGUCUAUGGGUGCACCGGUGUUGUCAAUGACGCACAUAAGCCUCAAAGCAAGACUCAAAAUAUGUUGAGCGCUCGUCUCACUUAAUGUGCAACUUAGGUUCUAAUUUCUAAUACAUACUUUUCCUUUUCAGUCCAUGAGGCUUUCUUAAGAGACGACUAUUUCACUAUAUCAAAAAAAAAAAACAAAUCAUAUAUUUAUCACUCAUGCUUAUAUUAUUAGUCUUGGACUAACAUAUAUUUAUAUUUUUUUCUCUUUAUGCUCCUUUAUUUGUACUUUGUGCUUAAACACAAUAGACCGUGAUGCUUGUUUACACUUGUUGCUUUUGAUAAUACUGUGGUGCACAAUAUUAUCUUAAGACAUUAGGAAAACUUUCAGUGUCGAUUAAGAGAUAUUAUCAUAUUCAAUUGGUCGUCAAAGACAUAAACAAUACUGAAAAAAUAAAUUUAUAGAACAAGUAUGAAUUCUUAGCUAAUAACUUUAUUUUCUUAUAAUAUGAGGUUUAUUUUUAAGAUCUUUGGAUAAUCAUUUGUAGUAGCUCAAUGGUCAAGGGGAUUCACUUCAUGGGAUGGUUGCAGGUUCGAAUCCCCAUUCCAACAUUUUGAUAUUAUAAAUUUAGUAAUAGAAAAAAUAUUGUGCUACCAGGGAUCGAUCCCUAGUUUGAUGGACGGAAGCAUUGGCUUCAACUAGCACAUCAAGGUGUGCACUAGCAUUCAACUUAAUGUAAUAGUAAGCCUUUAAUAAUCUGAAGAUUGAAAAUAAAAGAGAAAAUGUUGCGCGAUCCAAGGAUUGAUCCCUGGUCGCAUGGACAAAUGUGAUGUCCUAUGCCAGCGCGGCAAGGUGCACUAGCAUUCAUUUGUGGGUGCACUAUUAAAUAUAUCUCAAUUUCUGAAGGUAUAUACACAUAUAUGCACAUAAUUUUUUUCAACAUUAACGGGAGCACGUGCACCCCCACUAAUAGCUGUGGGUUCGCCUCUGCCGGGGACCAGAUUCUUUGUACAAAGAGCAUCCUCUUUGAGCUUAGCAAUAAAAACUCCCUCAUGUCUGUGAGGCACCAACGCAACCCUAUUACCACCCUUCAUUCCUCCACGUCCCAUGCCUCUUCCUCUUUCACCUCCUCUGCCUCCUCGGCGCUGCAUAGCAAUUCCCCCACCCCCACUCCCUCUCCCUCUACCACCGCCAAAACCUCCUCUUGCUCCUCUUCCUCCAUCUCCUCGGCCACCCCUAAAGGCCUAAACCCACCCCUUCCUCCACGG
This 1504-nucleotide long non-coding RNA is filed under the name Capsicum annuum. RNAcentral describes it as "long non-coding RNA (CANN_LNC003049)". Lineage: Eukaryota; Viridiplantae; Streptophyta; Magnoliopsida; Solanales; Solanaceae. The record is from RNAcentral.